GCGCGGGUAGCUCAGUGGAUAGAGCGUCUGCCUCCGGAGCAGAAGGCCGUGGGUUCGAGCCCCUCCCCGCGUACCA
RNAcentral lists this transfer RNA (76 nucleotides) under Chloroflexota bacterium. RNAcentral describes it as "tRNA-Arg". It matches the Rfam family "tRNA". From Rfam's summary of the family: Transfer RNA (tRNA) molecules are approximately 80 nucleotides in length. Lineage: Bacteria; Bacillati; Chloroflexota. RNAcentral also lists the same sequence under 2 other names. The record is from RNAcentral.